Molecule: long non-coding RNA, 922 nt
Organism: Aegilops tauschii subsp. strangulata
Lineage: Eukaryota; Viridiplantae; Streptophyta; Magnoliopsida; Poales; Poaceae
Source: RefSeq, a predicted model, not a curated record
GGCACACACGAGCACGAGGGCUCGCCUUCGAUGCGUGCGGGUACGCCGCCGCCGCCACCGCCUCCGCGCGCCGCCGCCACCGCCUCCGCGCGCCGCCUCUCCGGCCAUCCGCUGCCGCUGACGCGCGCGGCCUCUCUGCCAUCCGCCGCCCUGUUCUCCUUCCCUUCCCCAUUCGUCUCAAUCUUCUCCGGCGCCACCUGAAGCCUCCUCAACCUGAAAGCUCCUGCCAUCAAGCCCUUCUAAUCUCGCUGGAACAUGGACUUAACCGGAACGCCGUCCUGUUAGCCGUGCCCACUUGAGCGAGGAGAGAGUGGUGAGGCGGCUUAGGUGAGGCUCAGGACGGCGUCUCGCAUUGGGCGGAGGCAGCGACUGCCACCAUGGUGUCGUCCUUCUCCCACACCUUCGUCGCAGGACCGGAUUCACAAUGACGCCACCGCAUCUAGCGACGACGCAAGCUCAUGUGGGUGCCGCAACUUCCAAGGACAUGGGAGUCUCCAUGGGCAGCGAGUACGUGAGCACACUCACACACCACAACUCUCAAGGAUGCGGGAGCCGCCUCAGCCCGAGAGGACUCGUGAACCAUGCUCAGGUGAAGAUAUUAUUGUUAUGCUGAUCAUGGAGGAUGGAUAUUUCUUUGAGCUUCUAUCGUCGAUAGGGACGUUGUAGUGAGAUUUCUAUCGAACUCAAGAUAUUGAAAGUUGAAGGUUGGCACUGGUGGGGCUUGCUUCUAUGAGCACUGUUAGGUAUGUGGCGUCAACAAGCCCAAUAAUAAAAGCAAAUCUCAUGCUACUUAGUCAACUAAAGUCAAUGAGCCCCAGAUAUAUCCGUUAUCUUCUUCCAUAAAUAAUAUUAAUGUGUCAAUCAACCGUGUGAUUUCAUUAUUUAUGCUUUUUAUUAAUAAUAUUAUUAAUUAUAGAGAUAA